UAAUACGGAGGGGGUUAGCGUUGUUCGGAAUGACUGGGCGUAAAGCGCGCGUAGGCGGAUCGCAAAGUUGGGGGUGAAAGCCCAGGGCUCAACCCUGGAAUUGCCUUCAAGACUCGCGGUCUGGAGUUCGAGAGAGGUGGGUGGAAUUCCGAGUGUAGAGGUGAAAUUCGUAGAUAUUCGGAGGAACACCAGUGGCGAAGGCGGCCCACUGGCUCGACACUGACGCUGAGGCGCGAAAGCGCGGGGAGCAAACAGGAUUAGAUACCCUGGUAGUCCGCGCCGUAAACGAUGAAUGCCAGACGUCGGGGGGCUUGCCCUUCGGUGUCACACCUAACGGAUUAAGCAUUCCGCCUGGGGAGUACGGCCGCAAGGUUA
Molecule: ribosomal RNA, 375 nt
Filed under: uncultured bacterium
Lineage: Bacteria
Description: bacterial SSU rRNA
Rfam family: Bacterial small subunit ribosomal RNA
Source: RNAcentral